CCUACGGGCGGCAGCAGUGGGGAAUAUUGGACAAUGGGCGAAAGCCUGAUCCAGCCAUGCCGCGUGUGUGAAGAAGGCCUUCGGGUUGUAAAGCACUUUCAGUGGGGAAGAAAGCCUUGGGGCUAAUACCCUCGAGGAAGGACAUCACCCACAGAAGAAGCACCGGCUAACUCCGUGCCAGCAGCCGCGGUAAUACGGAGGGUGCGAGCGUUAAUCGGAAUUACUGGGUGUAAAGCGCGCGUAGGCGGUCUGAUAAGCCGGUUGUGAAAGCCCCGGGCUCAACCUGGGAACGGCAUCCGGAACUGUCAGGCUAGAGUGCAGGAGAGGAAGGUAGAAUUCCCGGUGUAGCGGUGAAAUGCGUAGAGAUCGGGAGGAAUACCAGUGGCGAAGGCGGCCUUCUGGACUGACACUGACGCUGAGGUGCGAAAGCGUGGGUAGCAAACAGGAUUAGAUACCCGAGUAGUC
RNAcentral lists this ribosomal RNA (465 nucleotides) under Vreelandella stevensii. RNAcentral describes it as "partial 16S ribosomal RNA". It matches the Rfam family "Bacterial small subunit ribosomal RNA", at positions 338 to 795 of the family's 1533-position model. The record is from RNAcentral. Lineage: Bacteria; Pseudomonadati; Pseudomonadota; Gammaproteobacteria; Oceanospirillales; Halomonadaceae.